Molecule: non-coding RNA, 70 nt
Organism: Clostridium sp.
Lineage: Bacteria; Bacillati; Bacillota; Clostridia; Eubacteriales; Clostridiaceae
Source: Rfam
UGACAAAACUCUGGAAAGCAUUAUGCACCGAAGGAGUAAAACUCUCAGGUUAAUAAACAGAGAUGAAAGU